RNAcentral lists this long non-coding RNA (3790 nucleotides) under Sorghum bicolor (sorghum). Its description in RNAcentral is "long non-coding RNA (SBIC_LNC000822)". The record is from RNAcentral. Lineage: Eukaryota; Viridiplantae; Streptophyta; Magnoliopsida; Poales; Poaceae.
ACAAAUGUUUUAAAUGCUACACUCAUGAUCUUAUUAUCCAUCCACUUUGUCUUGCUCACUAUGCUUAAGGUUAGAGAAGAACAAAUACACUUUUGGUUCUGUUGGUGUUUUCCACCAACAGGGCCCAUGCACUUGAUCUCUGCAUUGUCUCUAUGAGUAGGUACACUUCGAGCAAAAUAUGGCGUUUUACAACUUCUAGACUCCACCAAGUGAAGAACCUAGAUCUACGAGCACAAACACACUAGAGAUACUGGACACUUAGGCAAUCACUACCCUGAGAUGCUUGAGGACGUAACUAUUGGAGUAACCCCGUUAUGGAAGUAAUUACUGACCUUCUGCCGGUCAAGAGAGGCGAUCCAGGACGUACCGUCAUCCCGAUCUCCAUCGGCAUGGUGAACUUCCCAGAAGCACUCUGCGAUUUUGGCUCCAGCGUCAACAUUAUACCCAGGGUACUCUAUGAAAAAUUCUUUACACAUCCUUUAUUAGAAACAACCAUGUGUUUGCAGCUUGCAGAUUGGACACUCAAAGGGAAUAUUGAAAAACCUUUGCAUCCGAGUUGGUACCUUGUAUGCCCCAGCAGACUUCGUGAUGAUAGAGACUGGUAUUGAUGAGAGGGCACCCAUCAUCUUAGGGAGGCCAUUCCUGAACACCUCGGAAGCUGUCAUCUAUGCUAGUGCUGCCAAGAUCAGUUUCUACAUCAAGGGGAGGAAGGAGACGUUUUCCUUCAAGAACAAGACUACACAAAUCUCAGAGUAAUCCCGACAUGAACCAAGGAAGAGGACCAACAGGAGGAACAAGAACAAGCAAAUGUAGACCGAGUCAGCUAAGAUGGUCACUACAGUUCAAGGAGGUCAAGAUCGUCGACUUAAGUCACUGUUCCUGACCAAAAAGGACGACCCAGUCACCUAUAAGCUCCUGUUCAGAGCCAUGCCCCUAAAACUGACAUACAUUCAGCUCCAGAUGGCAGAUCAGACAUUCCAAAAGGUUGAAGGUAUAUUAACUGAUGUCCCUAUCAAAAUAGAUGAUCAUUUUGUCCAUACAGAUUUUUAGAUUAUUGACAUGGGAGAAGACGAGUAGGAUCCACCCAUCAUCCUUGGGAGACCGUUCCUCAGUACCGUUAAAGCAAUCAUCUACAUUGGAUCCAGUGAAGUCCACAUGCACUUCCCCUCUAAGAAGAUACGCCGCAAUUUUAUUGACCUUAACUAUAUAGUUGAAGGCUCUAAGCAGGUCAGGACAAGAAGAAGACAAUGUAACCGCAACCAGAGAAGGCAAAUCAUCAAGGACGGAUGGGCAGACUACGAAGGAGAAGUGGUAGGGUCUGAAGACAUACUACUUGAACAGAACUGUCCUGAGGAGAUCGUAGCAUCGAGUCAGAGAGAAAAGAUAGUUAUACACGAAGAGGAAGCGCCGCCGGAACCACCGACUACGCCACCCAGCGAAUCCCAGGACGACUGAGAAAACGGAGAGUCCGGUUCGGAGGACUUAAAAACACCGAACGCCUUGCCAAGAGGUGAACUUGGUAGUUAUCUUUUUUCCUUUCAAUUAUUUAAAAUAGUUUGCUUAGUUAAUUAGGUUCAUAUCAUCUUGAAAAGAAAAUAAAAAUGUUAAAAAUAGUAAGCCCCAUGUGAGUAUGCUCAUGGCAUAAAAUACAUAAGGACAUUCACUGUGGUGGCGUAAAAAUGAAAAAAAUAUAUUCAUGUCCUAUAAAAAUAAAAUUAUAAAAAUAAAUUUAUAAUCCUACUAAAGAGAGUAACAUUUAUUGAGAAAGCUCAACAUGAUAAAGGCUAGAUAUUUAUGCUAACACUUAACCGGUUCCACAAAGCUUUGUUGUCAAUUUGAGCUCCAUAGAAUUCAAGGAUCAAAGAAGACUAGCUGACAGAGGACAUCCUAAUCUCUCUCAGGGUGCUGCUGAUAUUCAAAUACACCUCCACCAUCUGCUAGCUACAUCAGAAGAAAUUACGUCAAAAUCCAGCUUGGGGGAGAGCACUCCCAUUUAUCCAGUUAAGUGUUCUACCCAUGUUUAUACUUUACUCAAAUAAUAAAAAGAUGCAUAAUCAUAAAAACCCAAAUAAAGAUUUUGUGCUUAUAUAUAUAUCUUUGCUUAGUUUGCUAAAUAAAUAAAUAAAUAAAGUUUGCUAUGAACCCUCAUGAUAAGCUCUCACAUGGAAAUGAUGAAUAGUUGCUCUGCCAUGACUAGUUCUCAAAAUUGAAAUCUCUCUCAAGUUUAGGCAUGACUGUUAUUAAUUAAGAUUUGCUCUAAACCUGAACUUGUGGGAAGAGUACUUGAUCUAAAGUCUAAGUCGUUAACAGAUAUGAUAUGGGAAGGUUGAGCUGUUAUUUAUCUGUUCCUAGAGAUGCUAGAAUUGUGGAUAAUUUUAUCUUUGAAAAUAUUUAAAAUGUUACAUGAUGAGUACCUGUAUGAUGAGAGUUUAAAAUCCUACCACAGCCAUAUAUACAUGCUUAUUAGACUAUGAACCAUACAUUUACUUUACUGCUUAUGAGCAUUGAGUGUGGUCGAGCUGUGUAGACCCUUAGGAGCUUGUCAUGCGGUUAAAAUCAAGAUUCACUUACACGUUCACUCGUACAUGCUGCUUCUACUCUGGAAGUAUGCAUCCACAUACAUCCACUCAUUUCCAUAUCCAGAUUCACCCAAAAUUAUUCUACUCCUAUCUAGGAGAGAAUAGCCAAAAAUAAUAUCCUAUCCCUGUUAUUCCCUGUGAAAUAAAUGCUCAAGUUAUCUUGGUUACUACCACUUGCUACAUUAUUUCAAGAGAUGAGUGCUCUUAAAAAAAAAGAAGAUACGAGGAAAUAAAAAUGGGCAAGUCACCGGAACCUCGAAAGAAAAGAAAAAGUGAGACGAGAGGUAAAAAUGGACAAGUGUCCGACAGUAGAAUUAGGGGUACAAGAUACCCACCUGAGAGAAAAGAAAAAGAAAAUAUAGAGCAUCUCAUUCUCCUCAAAAAGUUUCAAAAGAGCAAGAAAGGUAUGCAUCCACUCAAAAGAGCACAAGUAGAAUUAGACUUUCACCAUUGUUAUCACCAUCAUUACCAUACACCAUUCAUUUGCCACACAUGCACAUCUUGAUUUGACUUAUUGACUUGUUCUUCUGGAUCCAUGGUUUGACUAUGCAAUAAAUGUCUUGUAAGUAUGUAUUAGCUGUCUCCCACCUAUGAGCUCCAGAUAUCAAAACCUUAUUAGAGUAGGGUGAGAGAGAAGGCAAUGCCACUAUGCCUCAUACCAAAAAUACCACAUACUUUGAGAGAAGGCAUACACCAUUACUGCCUUGGUAAGGAUCUAGAAAUACCACAAAAGAGAGACUAGAGAGAGUCAUACAAGGAAUCUCUGUGUUUUAUUGAAAAUCUGCAAAAACUCCAGAGCUAUAGUUAAUCGAAUAACAAGAGACAUGGCGCUUGAUUAGACCGUUCUAUCUUUUAACUGCUCAAGACACAAGUGACGGUUACAAGCCCCAUGGAGAUAGGUAAAAUGAGUUUUAAGUCUUGGCAGUUUACCCUACCCAGAAAUGAGAUCUUGUUUGAACGCAUGUGUACCUUUAAGGCAUGAAACCACUGCAGAAACUCUUGGGUUCAUCUUUGCUCAGGGACGAGCAAAGGUUAAGCUUGGGGGAGCUUGUUGACGGUCCUUAAUGCUCACAUUUAACCAUCAACUAAUCAUGGAAAAGGAUCCAAAUGCAACAAACACUUAGACUUAGGGUUUUAUCUGACAGAAUUCCACGAGUUUGGUGUUUGUCUAUUUCUGCAGGGGGUUAUCAGGAAAUACGGAAGAAUGGCCC